This 4696-nucleotide long non-coding RNA is filed under the name Brassica napus (rape). RNAcentral describes it as "long non-coding RNA (BNAP_LNC000267)". The record is from RNAcentral. Lineage: Eukaryota; Viridiplantae; Streptophyta; Magnoliopsida; Brassicales; Brassicaceae.
UUUCAUUUGUAUUAUUGUUUUAAAGUUUUAUUUUAUUUUUGGCUAUACAUUCACUAUUUGGUUUGAAAACUCAUAAAAUUAUGUACGUAUAAACAAGGGCUCACCUUCAUUGUCAAAAAUUUCAGGUAUAUAAGAAAAUAAGUACAUGCAUGCAUAUUAAACUGUUAAUGGUUUACGUGAAGGUUCAUGCCAAAAGGAGCAGAAGCAGUGCACGCCGCAAACCCUGAAGUACUAGUUAUCCUCUCCGGCAUAGACUUCGACACAAACCUCUCUUUCCUCCGUGACCGCUUCUUCAACGUCAGCUUCACCGAUAAACUCGUCUUCGAGCAGCAUUGGUACAGCUUCUCCCACGAGGGAGGCGCGUGGGUAAAACACAACUCCAACGAUAUUUGCGCCAAAAUCAUCGGGGAGGUCAAUCAUAAUGGAGGAUUCUUGCUCGACAGAGGCUUUCCUUUGAUUUUGAGUGAGUUUGGGACCGACGAGAGAGGCGUUGACGUCAGCGGAAACCGGUAUAUGAAUUGUUUGGUGGCUUGGGCCGCUGAGAAGGAUUUGGAUUGGGCGGUUUGGGCAUUAACCGGAGAUUAUUAUUUGAGAACCGGUACAAAACAUAUGGUUGAGACUUAUGGUGUUUUGGAUGCUACUUGGAAAAACGUCAGAAACUCUACUUACUUGCAGAAACUCUCCGGAAUUCAACAUCCAUUUAGAGGUCAGAUUCUUUUUUUUUAAUAAGAUAUAAAACUAUACAAAAAUAUUUAGGAUUCAAUCUUCUAACAUAUAUAUGUGUGUGUGCAGGACCCGGUUUACAAGAGAAAAAAAUUAUUUUGCACCCACAUACUGGCCUAUGUGUCACCAAUAACCACUCAGGCAAUGUACCCACACUUCGACUUGAACUAUGCACUAAAUCCGAGCCAUCGACCUUUAAUCCCAAGGAAGGCAUUCUCUGGAUCAAUAAAAUGUGCGUUGAAACUCCAGAUGUUGCUGGACAAAAGGUGAAGCUUGGAGUUGGCACUAAGUGCUCUAAGUUGGGACAAAUCUCAGCUACUAAGAUGCAUUUGUCGUUUAAGACAAGUAAUGGCUUGUUACUAUGUCUUGAUGUGGAUGAACGUGACAACAGCAUUGUCGCUAACCCUUGCAAGUGUUUGACUAAGGAUGCUUCGUGUGAUCCAGCGAGCCAGUGGUUCAAAGUUCUUUAAAUUCUAUAUAUUUUAUUCUGAUAAAAUGUAUUUGUAAUAAUUUUACGGUCAAACAUGUUAAUCAUUAAAAUUUAAUAAAAAAAUUCGCGAUUGGACAGAAAUCAUAAGGAAACCAAAGAAAUCAAGUUAGCGUAUAUUAUUACUAUUUAUGAUGAUGGAAAAAAAUGUCAUCUCCAUCUGUACUACUGCUAUAAAACCAAUAUUAAAGCCGGAUCCGUACGACCGCGUAUAUAUUUUUUAUUUGUUUUCGUAAUGUAAAUAAAUGUUUUUACACCAUUAUAUAAUUUAUAUAAUUUACUAUACAAAUGCUGAAAUAAAUAAAUUAUAAUACAAAUAUUUUUGUAAUAUAAUUUUCAUAAUAGUCAUGAAUUUAUAAAUAAAAAAGCAAACGCGCAUUUGAUUACACAAAAUUGAAAAAAGAAAAAAAAGAAUAUGGUUUGUUUAUGGUAUGUUUUAAUUUGAACCAAAGAAAUAGGAAAUACUAAGAUUUGCUAGCUUUUUUAUGCUUGACUAUGGGAUCCAAUUAACAAUUUGUAUGUACUUCUGUUUGAAAUCGAUAAAGGCUAAGCUUUUGUGAUUAUUCCAGAAUUUGUGAUUGUUCCCAAAAUUGUAGGUGUAAUUGAGUUGUGAUCUUCCAAAUUCCCACACAAAUAACUUAAAAGUAUAAUAUUUUGGGAGGGAAUUUAUAUAAAAAAGCAAUGAAUCGUACAUAUGAAUUAGCACAUAAUAAUUUUUUCACUUUGAGAUAUAGAAGUAAGACCUUAUUAAAAUCUAUCCAAGCAUGAGCUCAUAUUUUCCAACGUGUUGAAUUAUUUAUAAAAUUUACAUAACUUUUCUGUUGAUUCAGGUUAAAUAAAGUAAAAGAAAUUAUUAUCGACAUAUAAACUAUCUUUUAUUGUUGAUAUUGGAAGAGAACGGUAAAUGAAAUAAUUUUCUACGUGGAGGAGUUAUCGUCGUUUUAGGUAAGAAUGAUCAUUUUAGGAAAACAGUUAAUAGCUGAAAAAGACAAGAAUUUUUAACGAUAACUUAAUUAAAUUUUCAGUGGCAUUAUAUAACUCUAAGGGAUAUUCUUUGUGUGUACUUUUGUUUUAAUAAAGUAGAUUCACAUAUAAUCCGAAAUGGAAUUUUAAAAACCAAUGUUUUUAAAACCGGACCUGCAAGUGAACCGGAAAUUCUUUGGGUCAUGGACCAAUAUGGUUCGACCGGUUCAAUUCGGUUCAACCAAAUUAAAUUUAUUGAUAUGUUGUAAAUAAUAUAGGUAUUAUUUUUAAUGAUAUGUUGUAAGUAAUAUACUUAUUCUUUACAAAACAUCAUAUCAAAUAAAAUAUUUCAGUAACCAAAAUGUUUUAAAAACUUCAAAAAAAAACAAACUUAAAAUGUAACAAGAAUUUAUAAAAUAAUUUAAUAGUUCAAAUCUAAAAUUAAUAUGAAACACACAUUUAAACUUCAUUCUCCAGAUCAUAAUUCGUCUUCACCUUUAAAACAAAUCAUGUAAACUAAGUUUUUAUUUACUCGUGCAUUAAGAAGCAAGAAUAAGUAUAAUGCUUUGGUUUUACAAAAUUUGGAAUUUCAUGAAUGUUGAUGUUUGAAUUAUUAAAGUCUUUAACACAUCUGAUCAUGUAAUAAUAUUAUAUAAACUUGAAUAGAGAUGAACUGGCUCAUUUAUAAAUUUUACCCAUUUUAUUUAGUAAAAUAGUUAUAUUGUGUGGAAAAUUAAGUGACAAUAUAUAUAUGUAAUACAUUUUAUUAUUUUGAGUUAAGUUAUUAUUUUGUUCACAUAAACUAUGUCUUUGAAUAUGUGUUUGGCUACAUAAUUUGUCACCGAUUGAAAUUAAAAUAAAAAUAGUAAAAUAGACUAGACUGAACUUUUAUCCAUUUGCAAAACCCGAUUAUUUUACAUUUCUAUUUUAUAAUUGGUACAUAUGUAGAUAAGUAAAGAAACAAACUUUUACUGUUAUAAUAAUGUUCUAAUAAUGUAUUAUAUUAAAGUCUUUUAAAUUUUAAAGGAAAAUUUACAGCUCAGAAUCUGUUAACAUCAUGAUCCGUCCAUUGCUGUUUUUUUCUUACAGUUAAAACUAUUGUUUUAUCUUCAGUUGCUUUCUUUGGCUGGAAAAAUUUAACCUCUAACCAUAAACACUUAUAAUCUGCCAGCAAUCAGAAACUAAAUCAACUUCUUUCAUAUAUAAAUUGCGAAUGAAAUUCAAAAUAAUCAUAAUCAAAAACAAAAGAAACAUACAUAAAACAAAAUGGCAAGAUCUAUAUGUUUGUGUAUCUUCUUAUUAUUCAUUACUUGGAUUCCAAUUCUAUCCACAAGCUUUCCGCUCUCCACAAAAACUCGAUGGAUCGUGGACGAGAAAGGCCAAAGGGUAAAGCUAGCCUGUGUGAACUGGCCAGCUCAUCUCCAGCCCGCUGUGGCUGAAGGGCUAAGCAAACAACCAUUAGACUCCAUCUCCAAGAAGAUUGUUUCAAUGGGAUUUAACUGUGUUAGACUCACUUGGCCUCUUGAUUUGAUGACUAAUGACACAUUGGCUCGUAAAAUCACGGUCAAGCAGUCUUUUGAAAGCUUGAACUUGUUUGAUGAUGCUCUUGGGAUUCAAAUUCACAAUCCCAAAAUCCUUAAUCUUCCCAUAUUCAAUGCAUUCCAGGUAACAUAUUUAAUGCUAUAGCAUUGGUCUAGCUAGUCAAUCCAAUAACAAAAACUAACCAAAAUUGACCAAACGAAAGAAAUGUACUAAUUUUAAUGGAAUCUCUCUCUCUCUCUCUCUCUCUCUCUCUCUCUCUCUCAAUAUAAAUAUGUUUGUGUUAAUUUUAUUCUGUAACCAGGAAGUGGUAUCGAACCUUGGACAAAACGGAUUGAUGGUGAUACUAGACAACCACUUGACAUAUCCAGGCUGGUGUUGCAGCGACAACGACCUCGACGCUUUCUUCGGCUACCCUAACUUUGAUCCCGUCAUUUGGGCCAAGGGCUUGGGCAAAAUGGCUACUCUUUUCCGCAAUGUCACUAAUGUCAUUGGCAUGAGCCUUAGGAACGAGCCACGUGGUACUAGAGAUUACCCUGACCUAUGGUUUAGGUACGCAUUUCAAAUCAUCACCAAUUAAUGUGUAUUUCAUUUCGAAUAUAACCAAGAAAUUUCAACAUGGAAAUUAUUAGAAAUUACCAUUUUUGUGAAUAUAUUCAUGAUUAUUACUAAAAAUCUAUACAUAUAUAUAUAAGAUUAACAUAUGUCCACGCGCAUUUACGUAAAAUGUUUGGAUUCACCUUUUGUAUCAACUUUUUUCUUUCAUUUGUAUUAUUGUUUUAAAGUUUUAUUUUAUUUUUGGCUAUACAUUCACUAUUUGGUUUGAAAACUCAUAAAAUUAUGUACGUAUAAACAAGGGCUCACCUUCAUUGUCAAAAAUUUCAGGUAUAUAAGAAAAUAAGUACAUGCAUGCAUAUUAAACUGUUAAUGGUUUACGUGAAGGUUCAUGCCAAAAGGAGCAGAAGCAGUGCACGCCGCAAACCC